This 1926-nucleotide ribosomal RNA is filed under the name human gut metagenome. Its description in RNAcentral is "bacterial LSU rRNA". It matches the Rfam family "Bacterial large subunit ribosomal RNA", at positions 291 to 1985 of the family's 2925-position model. The record is from RNAcentral.
AUGGGCAUCCUCGGCGUGUCGCAGACGACGCUGCUUGUUUCCGGCAAUAACGUCCUGACGAUGGCGGCGCUGCUGAUGACGGGCUUGGGCGUCGGUCCGCUGUACCCGAAUUUCAACUACAUGACCCCCCUGCACUUCGGCAAGGACGUCAGCCAGUCGGUCAUGGGGAUGCAGAUGACCUUCGCGUCCAUCGGCACCAUCGCAGCCCCCGCCCUCUGCGGCGUGCUGGGACAGCUCCUCGGCAUGGGCAUUUUCCCGGCGUAUUUGAUGAUAUUCUACGUCCUGACCGCCGUCGGCAUUAUCGCCCUGCGCCGCACGCUCCGGCAGGUGCCGGCCAGAGAGGGUGAAAGCCCCGUAUGGGAAAACAAAGAGGGACAAGCAGUAUCCAAAGUACCACGAGACACGAGAAACCUUGUGGGAAGUCGGGGGGACCACCCCCCAAGGCUAAAUACUCCUUAGUGACCGAUAGCGCAUAGUACUGUGAAGGAAAGGUGAAAAGGACCCCGGGAGGGGAGUGAAAGAGAACCUGAAACCCUGUGUUUACAAGCUGUGGAAGCACGUUAAGGUGCAACCGCGUACUUUUUGUAGAACGGUCCGGCGAGUUGCGGAUGCUGGCGAGGUUAAGGAGUAAAGCUCCGGAGCCGAAGCGAGAGCGAGUCUUAAUAGGGCGUAAAGUCAGCAUGUGCAGACCCGAAACCGGGUGACCUAUCCAUGUCCAGGUUGAAGUUCCCGUAAAAGGGAAUGGAGGACCGAACGCACAUCCGUUGAAAAGGGUGGCGAUGAGGUGUGGAUAGGGGAGAAAUUCCAAUCGAACCCGGAGAUAGCUGGUUCUCCUCGAAAUAGCUUUAGGGCUAGCCUCGUAUUAGUUUAGCGGAGGUAGAGCACUGAAUUUCCUAGGGGGCGUCAAAGUCUACCGAAGAAUAUCAAACUCCGAAUGCCGCAUAAAUGAUGUACGGGAGUCAGACUGCACGAGAUAAGUUGGGUAGUCAAAAGGGAAAGAGCCCAGACCUACAGCUAAGGUCCCAAAGUGUGUGUUAAGUGGAAAAGGAUGUGGGAUUUCGAAGACAACUAGGAUGUUGGCUCAGAAGCAGCCAUACAUUAAAAGAGUGCGUAAUAGCUCACUAGUCGAGAGGUCCUGCGCCGAAAAUGUCCGGGGCUGAAACACAACACCGAAGCUGCGGAACCCGCAAGGGUUGGUAGAGGAGCAUUCUUAAAGGAACGAAGCAGUACCGUAAGGAGCUGUGGACUUUUAAGAAGAGAGAAUGCCGGAAUGAGUAGCGAGAGUAAGGUGAGAAUCCUUACGGCCGAAUAUCCAAGGUUUCCAGGGUAAAGCUGAUCUGCCCUGGGGAAGUCGGGACCUAAGGCGAGGCCGAGAGGCGUAGCCGAUGGACAACAGGUUGAGAUUCCUGUACUACAGUAUGACAGAACUGUGGGGACGCAGAAGGAGAGCACUACCUGGAAUGGAAUCCAGGGGCAAGCACAGGAGGGGUACGGCUGGAAAAACCGCCGUGCAACCCAAAGGUGUGACGCAUACCGAACUAAAGUAGGGAAAUGUGUGAGCCGGCUGCCGAGAAAAGCCGCUAUUGUUUGUACUGUACCCGUACCGUAAACCGACACAGGUGGAUGAGGAGAGAAUCCUAAGGCCGACGGAAGAAGCAUUGCUAAGGAACUCGGCAAAAUGACCCUGUAACUUCGGGAGAAAGGGUGCCUCGAAAGAGGCCGCAGAGAAUAGGCCCAAGCAACUGUUUAGCAAAAACACAGGUCUAUGCAAAACCGCAAGGUGAAGUAUAUGGGCUGACGCCUGCCCGGUGCUGGAAGGUUAAGGGGAGAUGUCAGGAGACGAAGCAUCGAACUUAAGCCCCAGUAAACGGCGGCCGUAACUAUAACGGUCCUAAGGUAGCGAAAUUCCUUGUCGGGUAAGUUCCG